Molecule: ribosomal RNA, 479 nt
Filed under: uncultured bacterium
Lineage: Bacteria
Description: partial 16S ribosomal RNA
Rfam family: Bacterial small subunit ribosomal RNA
Source: RNAcentral
GAUGAACGCUAGCGGGAGGCCUAACACAUGCAAGCCGAGCGGUAUUUGUUCUUCGGAACAGAGAGAGCGGCGCACGGGUGCGGAACACGUGUGCAACCUGCCUUUAUCUGGGGGAUAGCCUUUCUAAAGGAAGAUUAAUACCCCAUAAUAUAUUGAGUGGCAUCACUGGAUAUUGAAAACUCCGGUGGAUAGAGAUGGGCACGCGCAAGAUUAGAUAGUUGGUGAGGUAACGGCUCACCAAGUCAAUGAUCUUUAGGGGGACUGAGAGGGUGAUCCCCCACACUGGUACUGAGACACGGACCAGACGCCUACGGGAGGCAGCAGUGAGGAAUAUUGGACAAUGGGUUAGCGCCUGAUCCAGCCAUCCCGCGUGAAGGACGACGGCCCUAUGGGUUGUAAACUUCUUUUGUAUAGGGAUAAACCUACUCUCGUGAGAGUAGCUGAAGGUACUAGACGAAUAAGCACCGGCUAACUCCGUG